CAAGACCUUGUGCUUUAGGAGCGGCCGAUGUCAGAUUAGCUAGUUGGUGGGGUAACGGCCCACCAAGGCGACGAUCUGUAGCGGGUCUGAGAGGAUGAUCCGCCACACUGGGACUGAGACACGGCUCAGACUCCUACGGGAGGCAGCAGUGGGGAAUUUUGGACAAUGGGGGCAACCCUGAUCCAGCCAUGCCGCGUGAGUGAAGAAGGCCUUCGGGUUGUAAAGCUCUUUCGGCCGGGAAGAAAUCGUGUGGGCUAAUAUCCUGCAUGGAUGACGGUACCGGACUAAGAAGCACCGGCUAACUACGUGCCAGCAGCCGCGGUAAUACGUAGGGUGCGAGCGUUAAUCGGAAUUACUGGGCGUAAAGCGUGCGCAGGCGGUUUUUUAAGACAGGCGUGAAAUCCCCGGGCUUAACCUGGGAACU
RNAcentral lists this ribosomal RNA (424 nucleotides) under uncultured bacterium. RNAcentral's name for it is "bacterial SSU rRNA". It matches the Rfam family "Bacterial small subunit ribosomal RNA", at positions 207 to 622 of the family's 1533-position model. The record is from RNAcentral.